Molecule: ribosomal RNA, 497 nt
Filed under: uncultured bacterium
Lineage: Bacteria
Description: partial 16S ribosomal RNA
Rfam family: Bacterial small subunit ribosomal RNA
Source: RNAcentral
GAUGAACGCUGGCGGCGUGCCUAGUACAUGCAAGUCGAGCGAACAGACGAGGAGCUUGCUCCUCUGACGUUAGCGGCGGACGGGUGAGUAACAUGUGGAUAACCUACCUAUAAGACUGGGAUAACUUCGGGAAACCGGAGCUAAUACCGGAUAAUAUAUUGAACCGCAUGGUUCAAUAGUGAAAGACGGUUUUGCGGUCACUUAUAGAUGGAUCCGCGCCGCAUUAGCUAGUUGGUAAGGUAACGGCUUACCAAGGCAACGAUGCGUAGCCGACUUGAGAGGGUGAUCGGCCACACUGGAACUGGGCCACGGUCCAUGCUCCUACGGGCGGCAGCAGUAGGGAAUCUUCCGCAAUGGGCGAAAGCUUGACGGAGCAAGGCCGCGUGAGUGAUGAAGGUCUUCGGAUCGUAAAACUCUGUUAUUAGGGAAAAACAAAUGUGUAAGUAACUAUGCACGUCUUGACGGUACCUAAUCAGAAAGCCACGGCUAACUACGUG